UCAAAGAUUAAGCCAUGCAUGUCUAAGUAUAAGCAAUUAUACCGUGAAACUGCGAAUGGCUCAUUAAAUCAGUUAUCGUUUAUUUGAUAAUACCUUACUACUUGGAUAACCGUGGUAAUUCUAGAGCUAAUACAUGCUGAAAAUCCCGACUUCGGAAGGGAUGUGUUUAUUAGAUAAAAAACCAAUGCCCUUCGGGGCUUUUUGGUGAUUCAUGAUAACUUUACGGAUCGCAUAGCCUUGCGCUGGCGACGGUUCAUUCAAAUUUCUGCCCUAUCAACUUUCGAUGGUAAGGUAUUGGCUUACCAUGGUUUCAACGGGUAACGGGGAAUUAGGGUUCGAUUCCGGAGAGGGAGCCUGAGAAACGGCUACCACAUCCAAGGAAGGCAGCAGGCGCGCAAAUUACCCAAUCCCGACACGGGGAGGUAGUGGACAAUAAAUACUGAUACAGGGCUCUUUUGGGUCUUGUAAUUGGAAUGAGUACAAUUUAAACCUCUUAACGAGGAACAAUUGGAGGGCAAGUCUGGUGCCAGCAGCCGCGGUAAUUCAAGGGGCGAAUUCGU
RNAcentral lists this ribosomal RNA (560 nucleotides) under uncultured Ascomycota. Its description in RNAcentral is "SSU rRNA". It matches the Rfam family "Eukaryotic small subunit ribosomal RNA", at positions 37 to 594 of the family's 1831-position model. The record is from RNAcentral. Lineage: Eukaryota; Fungi; Ascomycota.